GGGUAAGUCCUAUACGACCAGCUCCUGCUGAACCCCCCCAGGACCGGAAGGUAGCAAGGGUAAGUAGUUGAGCGGUGCGAUGUAGGGUGCUUGCCCCUU
Molecule: signal recognition particle RNA, 99 nt
Filed under: Prevotellaceae bacterium
Lineage: Bacteria; Pseudomonadati; Bacteroidota; Bacteroidia; Bacteroidales; Prevotellaceae
Description: signal recognition particle sRNA small type
Rfam family: Bacteroidales small SRP
About the family: The non-coding component of the signal recognition particle in Bacteroides
Source: RNAcentral